RNAcentral lists this ribosomal RNA (853 nucleotides) under uncultured bacterium. Its description in RNAcentral is "bacterial SSU rRNA". It matches the Rfam family "Bacterial small subunit ribosomal RNA", at positions 62 to 918 of the family's 1533-position model. The record is from RNAcentral.
UCGACGGGAUUGAGAGCUUGCUCUCAUGAGAGUGGCGCACGGGUGAGUAACGCGUAUGCAACCUACCUUUAACUGAGGGAUAGCCCAUAGAAAUGUGGAUUAAUACCUCAUAGUUCUUUUGAACCGCAUGGUUCGAAAGAUAAAGCUCCGGCGGUUAAAGAUGGGCAUGCGUGACAUUAGCUAGUUGGUGAGGUAACGGCUCACCAAGGCUACGAUGUCUAGGGGUUCUGAGAGGAUGAUCCCCCACACUGGUACUGAGACACGGACCAGACUCCUACGGGAGGCAGCAGUGAGGAAUAUUGGUCAAUGGGCGCAAGCCUGAACCAGCCAUCCCGCGUGAAGGAUGAAGGCCCUAUGGGUCGUAAACUUCUUUUAUACACCAAGAAAAAGCAGGACGUGUCCUGCCCCGACGGUAGUGUAUGAAUAAGCAUCGGCUAACUCCGUGCCAGCAGCCGCGGUAAUACGGAGGAUGCAAGCGUUAUCCGGAUUCAUUGGGUUUAAAGGGUGCGUAGGCGGCUUUUUAAGUCAGUGGUGAAAUCUUGCCGCUUAACGGUAAAAUUGCCAUUGAUACUGAUAAGCUUGAGUACAAUUGAGGUAAGCGGAAUGUGUAGUGUAGCGGUGAAAUGCUUAGAUAUUACACAGAACACCGAUUGCGAAGGCAGCUUACUAAACUGUUACUGACGCUGAUGCACGAAAGCGUGGGGAGCGAACAGGAUUAGAUACCCUGGUAGUCCACGCCGUAAACGAUGAUCACUCGCUGUAUGCGAUACACAGUAUGCGGCCAAGCGAAAGCAUUAAGUGAUCCACCUGGGGAGUACGAUCGCAAGGUUGAAACUCAAAGGAAUUGACGGGG